GUGCCAGCCGCCGCGGUAAUACGUAGGGUGCAAGCGUUAAUCGGAAUUACUGGGCGUAAAGCGUGCGCAGGCGGUUUGCUAAGACCGAUGUGAAAUCCCCGGGCUCAACCUGGGAACUGCAUUGGUGACUGGCAGGCUAGAGUAUGGCAGAGGGGGGUAGAAUUCCACGUGUAGCAGUGAAAUGCGUAGAGAUGUGGAGGAAUACCGAUGGCGAAGGCAGCCCCCUGGCCAA
RNAcentral lists this ribosomal RNA (232 nucleotides) under Burkholderia sp. RNAcentral's name for it is "partial 16S ribosomal RNA". It matches the Rfam family "Bacterial small subunit ribosomal RNA", at positions 505 to 737 of the family's 1533-position model. The record is from RNAcentral. Lineage: Bacteria; Pseudomonadati; Pseudomonadota; Betaproteobacteria; Burkholderiales; Burkholderiaceae.